GUGGGGAAUAUUGGACAAUGGACCAAAAGUCUGAUCCAGCAAUUCUGUGUGCUUGAUGAAGGCCUUCGGGUUGUAAAGAGCUUUAAGUAGGGAAGAAGAAAGUGACGGUACCUACAGAAUAAGCGACGGCUAAAUACGUGCCAGCAGCCGCGGUAAUACGUAUGUCGCAAGCGUUAUCCGGAAUUAUUGGGCAUAAAGGGCGUCUAGGCGGUUUAGAAAGUCUGAUGUGAAAAUGCGGAGCUCAACUCCGUAUUGCGUUGGAAACUACUAGACUAGAGUAUUGGAGAGGUAAGCGGAACUACAAGUGUAGAGGUGAAAUUCGUAGAUAUUUGUAGGAAUGCCAAUUGGGAAGCCAGCUUACUGGACAAAUACUGACGCUGAAGCGCGAAAGCUAGGGGAGCAAACAGGAUUAGAAACCCCUGUAGUCC
This 428-nucleotide ribosomal RNA is filed under the name uncultured bacterium. RNAcentral describes it as "bacterial SSU rRNA". It matches the Rfam family "Bacterial small subunit ribosomal RNA", at positions 354 to 796 of the family's 1533-position model. The record is from RNAcentral.